Molecule: long non-coding RNA, 1777 nt
Filed under: Mytilus galloprovincialis (Mediterranean mussel)
Lineage: Eukaryota; Metazoa; Mollusca; Bivalvia; Mytilida; Mytilidae
Source: RNAcentral
UAAACAAAUUUAAUAUCUUUAUUCCAGUUUAUUACAACUUAAAUAAUCACAAAUACUAUUUUCAAAAGGAAAUACAUGUACCUUCAGUUUUUCUCUAAAUGAUAACAAAACCAGAUGUUCCGCAGGGCACAGCUUUAUACGACUGCAGAGGUCAACCCUGAACAGUUGGUGCAAGUAUGGACACAACAUUUAAGCUUGAUACAGCUCUGAAUUUGGAUUGUGAUUAAAUAGCUGACACAACAUAGGUUUCUGACACAGAAUGAAUGUGGUCUAAGAACUUAAACUUAAAAAAACUUUAAAAUUUUAAAUUGGACAUUUACCUAUUAUGGUCCAAUAUCCAAAAUCUAAAUACAUGGUUAGAUUCAGCAUAUCAACAGAACCCUAAGAAUUCAAUUUUUAAUGAAAUCAAAUAAUGUUCAAUUUUAGAUCCUUUAGACCUAAAUGUGGACCAAUUUGAUUACGGGGCCCAAAUAUUAAAAAUCUAAAUACAUGGUUAGAUUCAGCAUAUUGAAGAACCCCAAAUAUUCGAUUUUUGUUGAAAUCAAACAAAGUUUAAUUUUUGAUCCUUUGGACCUUAAUGUAGACCAAUUUGAAAACAGAACAAUACUGUGCAAUUGAAUAUUUCUUGCUAUUGUGCAAAACUGUGCAAUUGAACAUUUCUUGCUCUUCCGCAAUAUUGUGCAAUUAGAUAUUUCUUGCUAUUGCGCAAUACUGUGCAAUUGAAGAUUUCUUGCUAUUGCACAAUGUUGUGCAAUUGAAAAUUUCUUCCUAUUGCACAAUACUGUGCAAUUGAAGAUUUCUUGCUAUUGCGGAAUACUGUGCAAUUGAAAAUUUCUUGCUAUUGCACAAUACUUAAUAUAAUAAUUUUGGACCUUUAAAGAGCUCUGAGGGAAAAGACAGCCAUUGUUUCUAUUUUUUGGGGGGUAUCUUUUGAUAGUCUACAUACAAGAAUGAGCAAAAGAACAGCUAGAACAAAAGGUUGACAAUUAUGAAACUAAUUGUUGUUUAUUGUUAUUUUAUUUCCUAAGUCAAGAAUUCAUCAUAGAGACAAUUUUGACCAAUUAGAUCUGCAACUUCUAAAUCAAAACAUUUGAUUAAAGUUGGGAGUUAAUUAUCUAUUAAAACCAGGUGCUCCACAGGGCGCAGCUUUAUACGACCGCAGAGGUCGAACCCUGAACAGUUGGGGCAAGUAUCGACAAAACAUUCAAGCGUGAUACAGCUCUGAAUUUGGAUUGUGAUCAAAUUUUUGACAUUAUAUGGGUUUUUUUACACAAAACAAAUGUCAAGAUUUUACAAAUCAAUUAAAGAUUUCUUCUUCAAACUUAUUUAAAUCUAAAAUUAAAUAGUUGACACAGCAUAAGUUUCUGACACAGAAUGAAUGUGGUCUAAUGAACUUAAAAAUUUUUUUUUUGCCUUUCGGCAAUUCACUAUGCUGUUGAAUAUUAAUCCUCUCAAAAAAAUGUUUGAAGAAAUUUUUUUUUUAUUUAUGAAAUCUGAAAUGAGAAAAAUUUAACCCCCCCCCAUUUUUUUUUCACAUCCCCCUUUCCCUUUUUCCAAAACUGAUAUCAAUUCAAAUUUCUAAUGGAGUUUGCAACAAUAACUACUCUUAAAUACAUCAUAAAAUAUUAAAAUGUAAAAUAAAGUGCUUGUUAUCACUGAAUGGUAAAAGAUUGGUUGGUAGUAAAAGUGAAUAUACAUUGUAUAUUGUAUAAAACAAUGAUUUAAGUUGAUUCAACUACUAUUCUGAACAAAGAAAGAUAACUCCAAUUGAAAAUUU